CUUCUUUUCAACUAGCUCAAAUGGAUAAGGUGCUACCCUCACCACCAGGCGCAUGGUGCCCUCCACCAAAUUCUCCCCUUUCCUUAAUCUUCCAGUCCAGUUCUCCAUCGUCAAGCCUUGCUUGUUCCCCACCUUUCACCAGCCACCGUCCCUGUCCAGCAUCUUGUGCUACAGGGUCCACAGACAAAGACACACGCCUAGCUCAAUCCUUUGGUAGCACCGCUGCCCACGAAACUGUGUUGCUGCCUAAGGCCAAAUCCAACCUCUCCUCCAUGGUCGCUCAGAUGCAUGCCUCCAUUGUCGAUCUGUUCAUUGCGCUGCGGUCCAGAUCCACCAAGCAGUCAAGCUGUUCCGAACUCCGGUGCCUCUAGGACUACAUUGGUGGUGACCUCAUUGUCCUUCUCCACAUGACUUCCUUCAAUCCUGCCUCCAAUGGGCUCCUAUGGAGUGCCUCCCCCCCCCCCCCCAUGAGCCAUGGUUGGACUGCCACUGUGUCAGUCCAUGGUUAUCAGAACAUACAAUUGGUGUAUAAAAUCAGUGAUCAUAUAUGAUGCUGGACAAAUAUGCAUAGAGGGGCCACUCAUUAUGCUGUCAGAUUCAAAGUUUGGACAGGUUUUUGGAACUCAUUAGAUUGCGUGGUUCUCAACCAUAAUGCACGGAAAUAUAAUGCAAUGUCAACUAUCUACAUUUUGUUUAUAGAUUUUCAUUUUUAUUAUGUACAGAUGCAAAUAAGGGGUGUGGGGUGUGCUAAAUAUCAGAGUUGUAUAUGUAUCUCUACUAAGAUCAAGCUGUGUGUGUCUUGUUCACAUGAAUGUCAUACAAUAACAUGUUGAAUGCUCUGAUAAAGAUAUAAUUUACCAUUUCAGACAUUA
Molecule: long non-coding RNA, 872 nt
Organism: Phragmites australis (common reed)
Lineage: Eukaryota; Viridiplantae; Streptophyta; Magnoliopsida; Poales; Poaceae
Exons: 3
Source: RefSeq, a predicted model, not a curated record